This 253-nucleotide ribosomal RNA is filed under the name uncultured bacterium. Its description in RNAcentral is "partial 16S ribosomal RNA". It matches the Rfam family "Bacterial small subunit ribosomal RNA", at positions 524 to 776 of the family's 1533-position model. The record is from RNAcentral.
UACGUAGGAGGCGAGCGUUGUCCGGAUUUACUGGGCGUAAGGCGCGCGCAGGCGGCACACUAAGUACGAUGUGAAAUCUCCCUGCUCAACGGGGAGGGUGCAUAGUAAACUGGUGAGCUAGAGGACGGUAGAGGGGGGUGGAAUUGCUGGUGUAGCGGUGAAAUGCGUAGAGAUCAGUAGGAACACCCGUGGCGAAGGCGGCCCCCUGGGCCGAACCUGACGCUGAGGCGCGAAGGCUAGGGGAGCGAACGGG